GACGUAGCUCAGUUGGCUAGAGCACCUGCUUUGCAAGCAGGGGGUCGUGGGUUCGAUUCCCAUCGUC
Molecule: transfer RNA, 67 nt
Filed under: Actinomycetota bacterium
Lineage: Bacteria; Bacillati; Actinomycetota
Also listed under: 1 other name
Description: Actinobacteria bacterium tRNA-Ala
Rfam family: tRNA
About the family: Transfer RNA (tRNA) molecules are approximately 80 nucleotides in length. Their secondary structure includes four short double-helical elements and three loops (D, anti-codon, and T loops). Further hydrogen bonds mediate the characteristic L-shaped molecular structure. tRNAs have two regions of fundamental functional importance: the anti-codon, which is responsible for specific mRNA codon recognition, and the 3' end, to which the tRNAs corresponding amino acid is attached (by aminoacyl-tRNA synthetases). tRNAs cope with the degeneracy of the genetic code in two manners: having more than one tRNA (with a specific anti-codon) for a particular amino acid; and 'wobble' base-pairing, i.e. permitting non-standard base-pairing at the 3rd anti-codon position.
Source: RNAcentral